CGAAAAUUUGCGUCAUGUUAUUCAUCAAAUGGGAGAGGACAUGGAGGAUUUGACGAAACAGUUAAAGAUUGAAGUAAGGAUAAUGUUCAUAUAAGAGGUCUGGUGGCACAGCUGAACAGCACAAUCGGUAGUUUACGCCAAGAGAAAUUAGAUCUUACAUCUCAAUUGGGAAAAUGUAAAGCAAUUAUCGUUCAUCUUCAAUGUUUACUUCAUCAUUCUUCAGAAGAGAAAGCUGUGUCAAGCAUUGAUGAUCAAUGACAAAAAAUCGGUGCAGAGCUUUCCACCAUUUGGCUUGUCUGACCAUUCAGUGUUACUAUUGCAGCCUAAACUAAGACCUGUGCUCACAUCUAGCCGUCGCUUUGUUACUCGAAGAGACACUCGUUCAAGUCGAAGACAAGAACUUGGUAGAUAUCUGAGGUCUAUUGACUGGUCCGUUCUCGCUUCUGUUAAUGGAUGCAAAAACAAACUAGCACUGUUUCUUGACCUUGUUAAAAUUGGCGUAGACACUAUCAUGCCACUCAAAUCUUUUAAAU
Long non-coding RNA from Dendronephthya gigantea, 533 nucleotides. RefSeq lists it as uncharacterized. The record is from RefSeq and is a predicted model, not a curated record. The transcript has 4 exons. NCBI's taxonomy places the organism in Eukaryota, Metazoa, Cnidaria, Anthozoa, Malacalcyonacea, Nephtheidae.